GAUGCAAGUGCUCUAUAGAUCUGCAGAACAGACCUGAACAAACUCAUAACAGUCUUUCUGCUUUCCUGUGCGGCAGUGGAAACGAAAUGUGGGAAGGAGAAAUCAAGAGAAGUUGUGUGAAUGUUUGGUGUGAAUCAAAGUGUCCAAAGCAUCUUCAUCUUUCUGAGUGCCAGAGGAAUGUGGAAUAUGCGUACUGACAGGGUGUUUGGAGCCCAAGGGAGGACAACUGAGGAAAGAGGCCGGACUGAUGGAAAUGCUCUUCCCUACAGGAGCCCUCAUAUUGAGGUCUUGGCAAGAGUUAGAAGAGGAAAGUUGCAUUUUACAGAGGAAAAUGAGGUUGGGUCAUAUUUCUCCAUUGUGCUACAUGUAAGCACAGUCACACUAAGAGAUGGAAGCUCAGAGCAAGAUAGGGGAAAAUGAUGGAGAUAAGGUAGCUCUAUGAGUUCCCCAAAUGAGAGUUAAGCUAUCCCAGAGAGAUGUGUUUUGCAGUGGAAACAUGAUGGAAUAGAAGAAACACAAACAAGUAAGGACAUCAACACUAUUUCAAAGAGUACAACUGCAAGAAGAAUGAAACAGCCGCGGUCCUGAUCGUGGAGAGCUCCCAGCUAGACAGCUCCAGCUCCAAGGUGAACUCCAUCAAGUCCACCCUGAUGGGGGAGGCUCCAACUCAGGCAACCAACAGAUCUGCAGGCAUCCACCAGGGACUGAUGCUUGCUAGCAGUAAGAAGGGCAAAAUGCUAGAGCAGAUGGGAAAA
Long non-coding RNA from Lepidothrix coronata (blue-crowned manakin), 755 nucleotides. RefSeq lists it as uncharacterized. Lineage: Eukaryota; Metazoa; Chordata; Aves; Passeriformes; Pipridae. The record is from RefSeq and is a predicted model, not a curated record. The transcript is spliced from 5 exons.